This 495-nucleotide ribosomal RNA is filed under the name uncultured bacterium. RNAcentral's name for it is "partial 16S ribosomal RNA". It matches the Rfam family "Bacterial small subunit ribosomal RNA", at positions 28 to 507 of the family's 1533-position model. The record is from RNAcentral.
GAUGAACGCUGGCGGCGUGCCUAAUACAUGCAAGUAGAACGCUGAAGGAGGAGCUUGCUCUUCUGGAUGAGUUGCGAACGGGUGAGUAACGCGUAGGUAACCUGCCUGGUAGCGGGGGAUAACUAUUGGAAACGAUAGCUAAUACCGCAUGACAACAGUUAUUGCAUGAUAACUGUUUAAAAGGGGCAACUGCUCCACUACCAGAUGGACCUGCGUUGUAUUAGCUAGUUGGUGAGGUAACGGCUCACCAAGGCGACGAUACAUAGCCGACCUGAGAGGGUGAUCGGCCACACUGGGACUGAGACACGGCCCAGACUCCUACGGGAGGCAGCAGUAGGGAAUCUUCGGCAAUGGACGGAAGUCUGACCGAGCAACGCCGCGGGAGGGAAGAAGGUUUUCGGAUCGUAAAGCUCUGUUGUAAGAGAAGAACGAGUGUGAGAGUGGAAAGUUCACACUGUGACGGUAUCUUACCAGAAAGGGACGGCUAACUACGUG